Schizophyllum amplum is the source of this 86-nucleotide non-coding RNA. NCBI's taxonomy places the organism in Eukaryota, Fungi, Basidiomycota, Agaricomycetes, Agaricales, Schizophyllaceae. The record is from the annotation of a GenBank genome assembly.
UCCCCGGUAGUAUAUCGGUUAGUACACCCGCCUGUCAUUUCCCUGAGGGCCCGCGGGAGAGCGGGGUUCGACUCCCCGCCGAGGAG